AGAGUUUGAUCCUGGCUCAGGGUGAACGCUGGCGGCGCGCUUAAUGCAUGCAAGUCGAGCGAGAAGCCGGCUUCGGCCGGUAGAGAGCGGCAGACGGCUGAGUAACGCGUGAGUAACUUGCCCUCCGGUGGGGUAUACACUCGGGAAACUGAGGAUAAUCCCGCAUACGACCCGGUCCCCUUGGGGAUCAGGUGAAAGGCUUCGGUCGCCGGAGGAGAGGCUCGCGUCCUAUCAGGUAGUUGGUGGGGUAAAAGCCUACCAAGCCGAUGACGGGUAGCUGGUCUGAGAGGAUGACCAGCCAGAGGGGGACUGAGACACGGCCCCCACUCCUACGGGAGGCAGCAGCAGGGAAUCUUGGGCAAUGGGCGGAAGCCUGACGCAGCGACGCCGCGUGGAGGAAGACGCCGUUCGCGGUGUAAACUCCUUUUCUUGGGGAAGAAGAUGACGGUACCCGAGGAAUAAGCCCCGGCUAACUCCGUGCCAGCAGCCGCGGUAAUACGGAGGGGGCGAGCGUUAUCCGGAUUUACUGGGCGUAAAGGGCGCGUAGGCGGCUGUGCUAGCCGCUUGUGGAAGCUCCUGGCUCAACCAGGAGAGGCCAAGCGGGACGGUGCGGCUAGAGGCAGGGAGAGGGUCGCGGAACUGGCGGUGGAGUGGUGAAAUACGUAGAUAUCGCCAGGAACACCGGUGGCGAAGGCGGCGACCUGGCUCUGUACUGACGCUGAGGCGCGACAGCGAGGGGAGCGAACGGGAUUAGAUACCCCGGUAGUCCUCGCCGUAAACGCUGGGUGCUGGGUGUUGGGGUCGGAUUUUUCUCCGGCUGCAGUGCCCAAGGUAACCCGCUAAGCACCCCGCCUGGGGAGUACGGCCGCAAGGCUGAAACUCAAAGGAAUUGACGGGGGCCCGCACAAGCAGCGGAGCGUGUGGUUCAAUUCGAGGCUACGCGAAGAACCUUACCAGGAUUUGACAUGUGCGUGGUACCGAACCGAAAGGGAAGGGACUGCGGGGGGAACCCCGUAGAGCGCACACCGGUGCUGCAUGGCUGUCGUCAGCUCGUG
This 1055-nucleotide ribosomal RNA is filed under the name uncultured bacterium. RNAcentral's name for it is "bacterial SSU rRNA". It matches the Rfam family "Bacterial small subunit ribosomal RNA", at positions 8 to 1064 of the family's 1533-position model. The record is from RNAcentral.